GACGAACGCUGGCGGCGUGCUUAACACAUGCAAGUCGAACGGAAAGGCCUGCUUUCCCUUGUGGAUUGCGGGUACUCGAGUGGCGAGCGGGUGAGUAACACGUGAGUGAUCUGCCCCCAACUUGGGUAUAAGCCUGGGAAACUGGGUCUAAUUCCCGAUAGGACUGCAGGGUGGUGCCUGUGGUGGAAAACGAUUUUCUAGUGGUUGGGGAUGAGCUCGCGGCCUAUCAGCUUGUUGGUGGGGUAAUGGCCUACCAAGGCGGCGACGGGUAGCCGGCCUGAGAGGGUGGACGGCCACAUUGGGACUGAGAUACGGCCCAGACUGCUACGGGAGGCAGCAGUGGGGAAUAUUGCACAAUGGGCGGAAGCCUGAUGCAGCGACGCCGCGUGGGGGAUGACGGCCUUCGGGUUGUAAACUCCUUUCGACCGCGAGGAAGCCACCUGGUUGGAAGGGUGGUGACGGUAGUGGUAGAAGAAGCACCGGCUAACUACGUG
This 494-nucleotide ribosomal RNA is filed under the name uncultured bacterium. Its description in RNAcentral is "partial 16S ribosomal RNA". It matches the Rfam family "Bacterial small subunit ribosomal RNA", at positions 28 to 507 of the family's 1533-position model. The record is from RNAcentral.